Molecule: ribosomal RNA, 446 nt
Filed under: uncultured bacterium
Lineage: Bacteria
Description: partial 16S ribosomal RNA
Rfam family: Bacterial small subunit ribosomal RNA
Source: RNAcentral
CCUACGGGCGGCAGCAGUCGAGAAUCAUUCACAAUGGGGGAAACCCUGAUGGUGCGACGCCGCGUGGGGGAAUGAAGGUCUUCGGAUUGUAAACUCCUGUCAUGUGGGAGCAAAUUAAAAAGAUAGUACCACAAGAGGAAGAGACUGCUAACUCUGUGCCAGCAGCCGCGGUAAUACAGAGGUCUCAAGCGUUGUUCGGAAUCACUGGGCGUAAAGCGUGCGUAGGCUGUUUCGUAAGUCGUGUGUGAAAGGCGCGGGCUCAACCCGCGGACGGCACAUGAUACUGCGAGACUAGAGUGAUGGAGGGGAAAGCGGAAGUCUCGGUGUAGCAGUGAAAUGCGUAGAUAUCGAGAGGAACACUCGUGGCGAAGGCGGGUUCCUGGACAUUAACUGACGCUGAGGCACGAAGGCCAGGGGAGCGAAAGGGAUUAGAUACCCGAGUAGUC